GUGAAUCAUCAAAUUUUUGAACGCAAAUUGCACUCUCCUCGGAGAGUAUGCCUGUUUGAGGGUCAGCCUAUAAAAAAUCGACAUCGUUGCUGUUUCCCGGUGGCGUUCGUCGGACAUUGGGUUAUCUUAAAUCUUUUGGCUUUAAGCGACUUAAAAUUUUCUUUUUGGUUCCAUGAACGUUUCUAAGAUUUAUUUCUGUACACGUUUAAGGUAGCGAUUUUUGUUAGACGUUACUAUC
This 238-nucleotide unclassified non-coding RNA is filed under the name Glomeraceae sp. RNAcentral's name for it is "partial contains 5.8S ribosomal RNA and internal transcribed spacer 2". The stretch from base 1 to 65 matches the Rfam family "5.8S ribosomal RNA", at positions 84 to 154 of the family's 154-position model. Lineage: Eukaryota; Fungi; Glomeromycota; Glomeromycetes; Glomerales; Glomeraceae. The record is from RNAcentral.